This 429-nucleotide ribosomal RNA is filed under the name Pseudomonadota bacterium. RNAcentral describes it as "Proteobacteria bacterium partial 16S ribosomal RNA". It matches the Rfam family "Bacterial small subunit ribosomal RNA", at positions 355 to 776 of the family's 1533-position model. The record is from RNAcentral. Lineage: Bacteria; Pseudomonadati; Pseudomonadota.
UGGGGAAUAUUGGACAAUGGGCGAAAGCCUGAUCCAGCCAUGCCGCGUGUGUGAAGAAGGUCUUCGGAUUGUAAAGCACUUUAAGUCGGGAGGAAGGGCAGUAAGCGAAUACCUUGCUGUUUUGACGUUACCGACAGAAUAAGCACCGGCUAACUCUGUGCCAGCAGCCGCGGUAAUACAGAGGGUGCAAGCGUUAAUCGGAAUUACUGGGCGUAAAGCGCGCGUAGGUGGUUCGUUAAGUUGAAUGUGAAAGCCCCGGGCUCAACCUGGGAACUGCAUCCAAAACUGGCGAGCUAGAGUAGGGCAGAGGGUGGUGGAAUUUCCUGUGUAGCGGUGAAAUGCGUAGAUAUAGGAAGGAACACCAGUGGCGAAGGCGACCACCUGGGCUCAUAAUGACACUGAGGUGCGAAAGCGUGGGGAGCAAACAGG